This 427-nucleotide ribosomal RNA is filed under the name uncultured beta proteobacterium. RNAcentral's name for it is "bacterial SSU rRNA". It matches the Rfam family "Bacterial small subunit ribosomal RNA", at positions 355 to 774 of the family's 1533-position model. The record is from RNAcentral. Lineage: Bacteria; Pseudomonadati; Pseudomonadota; Betaproteobacteria.
UGGGGAAUUUUGGACAAUGGGCGAAAGCCUGAUCCAGCCAUGCCGCGUGAGUGAAGAAGGCCUUCGGGUUGUAAAGCUCUUUUAGUCGGAAAGAAAGAGUCGCAAUGAAUAAUUGUGAUUUAUGACGGUACCGACAGAAAGAGCACCGGCUAACUACGUGCCAGCAGCCGCGGUAAUACGUAGGGUGCGAGCGUUAAUCGGAAUUACUGGGCGUAAAGGGUGCGCAGGCGGUCUUGCAAGUCAGAUGUGAAAGCCCCGGGCUUAACCUGGGAAUUGCGUUUGAAACUACAAGACUAGAGUGCAGCAGAGGGGAGUGGAAUUCCAUGUGUAGCAGUGAAAUGCGUAGAGAUGUGGAAGAACACCGAUGGCGAAGGCAGCUCCCUGGGUUGACACUGACGCUCAUGCACGAAAGCGUGGGGAGCAAACA